Non-coding RNA from Cinara cedri, 265 nucleotides. Lineage: Eukaryota; Metazoa; Arthropoda; Insecta; Hemiptera; Aphididae. The record is from the annotation of a GenBank genome assembly.
GUUCGGAUCGUAAAAACGACUGUGCGGGUUUUGCGCAGGAAAAAGCAGCAGGUGCCACCACCGGUCGUGCUCUGUCGCAGUCGUUCUUAUCUCGUCUACUCGUUCACGUUCGUGCCGGCUAUUUGAGGUCCGACGCCUUUGUCCUCUAAAUAUUUCCGCGCGCAUCGUCCUCCAACCUCGCGUACACUGGCUACCCUUGUCAGUAUAAAAAGCUCGCAUCAUUUUCAAAUGCCGCAUCCGACCGUCAUUUUUCCGGUCUUCCUCG